Molecule: ribosomal RNA, 253 nt
Filed under: uncultured bacterium
Lineage: Bacteria
Description: partial 16S ribosomal RNA
Rfam family: Bacterial small subunit ribosomal RNA
Source: RNAcentral
UACGUAGGCAGCAAGCGUUGUUCGGAGUUACUGGGCGUAAAGGGUGCGUAGGCGGUCCUAUAAGUAUGGUGUGAAAUCUCCCGGCUUAACUGGGAGGGUGCGCUAUAGACUGUGGGACUAGAGUGUGGGAGAGGAAAGUGGAAUUCCUGGUGUAGCGGUGAAAUGCGUAGAUAUCAGGAGGAACACCGGUGGUGUAAACGGCUUUCUGGACCAUAACUGACGCUGAGGCACGAAAGCGUGGGUAGCGAACGGG